This 458-nucleotide ribosomal RNA is filed under the name uncultured bacterium. RNAcentral's name for it is "partial 16S ribosomal RNA". It matches the Rfam family "Bacterial small subunit ribosomal RNA", at positions 338 to 795 of the family's 1533-position model. The record is from RNAcentral.
CCUACGGGAGGCAGCAGUGAGGAAUAUUGGUCAAUGGGCGCGAGCCUGAACCAGCCAUGCCGCGUGCAGGAAGAUGGCUCUAUGAGUUGUAAACUGCUUUUGUACAAGGGUAAACUGGACUACGUGUAUUCAGCUGAAAGUACCGUACGAAUAAGGAUCGGCUAACUCCGUGCCAGCAGCCGCGGAUAUACGGAGGAUCCAAGAGUUAUCCUGUUUUUUUGGGUUUAAAGGGUGCGUAGGCGGAUUUAUAAGUUGGGGGUGCAAUGUCCGAGCUUAACUCAGGAACUGCCUCUAUACUGUUGAUCUAGAGAGUAGAUGCGGUAGGCGGAAUGUAUGGUGUAGCGGUGAAAUGCUUAGAGAUCAUACAGAACACCGAUUGCGAAGGCAGCUACCAAUCUAUAUCAGACGUUGAGGCACGAAAGCGUGGGGAGCAAACAGGAUUAGAUACCCUAGUAGUC